RNAcentral lists this ribosomal RNA (434 nucleotides) under uncultured Ruminococcus sp. Its description in RNAcentral is "bacterial SSU rRNA". It matches the Rfam family "Bacterial small subunit ribosomal RNA", at positions 341 to 792 of the family's 1533-position model. Lineage: Bacteria; Bacillati; Bacillota; Clostridia; Eubacteriales; Oscillospiraceae. The record is from RNAcentral.
ACGGGAGGCAGCAGUGGGGAAUAUUGCACAAUGGGCGCAAGCCCGAUGCAGCGAUGCCGCGUGAGGGAAGAAGGUUUUCGGAUUGUAAACCUCUGUCAACAGGGACGAAAAUGACGGUACCUGUGAAGGAAGCUCCGGCUAACUACGUGCCAGCAGCCGCGGUAAUACGUAGGGAGCAAGCGUUAUCCGGAAUUACUGGGUGUAAAGGGAGUGUAGGCGGGACUGUAAGUCAGAUGUGAAAUAUGCCGGCUCAACUGGCAGACUGUAUUUGAAACUGCGGUUCUUGAGUGAAGUAGAGGUAAGCGGAAUUCCUGGUGUAGCGGUGAAAUGCGUAGAUAUUAGGAGGAACAUCAGUGGCGAAGGCGGCUUACUGGGCUUUAACUGACGCUGAGGCUCGAAAGCGUGGGGAGCAAACAGGAUUAGAUACCCUGGUA